RNAcentral lists this transfer RNA (76 nucleotides) under Lutjanus erythropterus (crimson snapper). Its description in RNAcentral is "tRNA-Lys". It matches the Rfam family "tRNA". From Rfam's summary of the family: Transfer RNA (tRNA) molecules are approximately 80 nucleotides in length. Their secondary structure includes four short double-helical elements and three loops (D, anti-codon, and T loops). RNAcentral also lists the same sequence under 1 other name. Lineage: Eukaryota; Metazoa; Chordata; Actinopteri; Lutjaniformes; Lutjanidae. The record is from RNAcentral.
AGCUAAGAAGCUAAACAUGGGCCCUAGCGUUAGCCUUUUAAGCUAAAGAUUGGUGACUCCCGACCACCCUUAGCUG